GUUUGAUCCUGGCUCAGGACGAACGCUGGCGGCGUGCUUAACACAUGCAAGUCGAGCGGUAAGGCCCUUCGGGGUACACGAGCGGCGAACGGGUGAGUAACACGUGAGCAACCUGCCCCCGACACCGGGAUAAGCCGUGGAAACGCGGUUUAAUACCGGAUACGACACGCCCCCGCAUGGGGUGCGUGUGGAAAGGGUUUCUGGUCGGGGAUGGGCUCGCGGCCUAUCAGCUUGUUGGUGGGGUAACGGCCUACCAAGGCGAUUACGGGUAGCCGGCCUGAGAGGGCGACCGGCCACACUGGGACUGAGACACGGCCCAGACUCCUGCGGGAGGCAGCAGUGGGGAAUAUUGCGCAAUGGGCGGAAGCCUGACGCAGCGACGCCGCGUGGGGGAUGACGGCCUUCGGGUUGUAAACCUCUUUUACCACUCACGCAGGCCCUAGGUUUUCCUGGGGUUGACGGUAGGUGGGGAAUAAGGACCGGCUAACUACGUGCCAGCAGCCGCGGUAAUACGUAGGGUCCGAGCGUUGUCCGGAAUUAUUGGGCGUAAAGAGCUCGUAGGCGGCGUGUCGCGUCUGCUGUGAAAGACCGGGGCUUAACCCCGGUUCUGCAGUGGAUACGGGCAUGCUAGAGGUAGGUAGGGGAGACUGGAAUUCCUGGUGUAGCGGUGAAAUGCGCAGAUAUCAGGAGGAACACCGGUGGCGAAGGCGGGUCUCUGGG
Molecule: ribosomal RNA, 720 nt
Filed under: Nocardiopsis sp.
Lineage: Bacteria; Bacillati; Actinomycetota; Actinomycetes; Streptosporangiales; Nocardiopsidaceae
Description: bacterial SSU rRNA
Rfam family: Bacterial small subunit ribosomal RNA
Source: RNAcentral